RNAcentral lists this ribosomal RNA (377 nucleotides) under uncultured eukaryote. RNAcentral's name for it is "partial 18S ribosomal RNA". It matches the Rfam family "Eukaryotic small subunit ribosomal RNA", at positions 592 to 976 of the family's 1831-position model. The record is from RNAcentral.
CAAUAGCGUAUAUUUAAGUUGCUGCAGUUAAAAAGCUCGUAGUUGGAUUUCGGGUGGGAAUGGCCGGUCCGCCGUUUCGGUGUGCACUUGCUACGCCCACCUUGCUGCCGGGGACGUGCUCUUGAGUUCACGCUCGGGACACGGAGUCGGCGAGGUUACUUUGAGUAAAUUAGAGUGUUCAAAGCAGGCCUACGCUCUGAAUACAUUAGCAUGGAAUAACACGAUAGGACUCUGGCCUAUCUUGUUGGUCCGUAGGACCGGAGUAAUGAUUAAGAGGGACAGUCGGGGGCAUUCGUAUUUCAUUGUCAGAGGUGAAAUUCUUGGAUUUAUGAAAGACGAACUACUGCGAAAGCAUUUGCCAAGGAUGUUUUCAUUGA